Pelobates cultripes (western spadefoot toad) is the source of this 202-nucleotide non-coding RNA. NCBI's taxonomy places the organism in Eukaryota, Metazoa, Chordata, Amphibia, Anura, Pelobatidae. The record is from the annotation of a GenBank genome assembly.
UAUAUGAAGGGUGCGUUACUAGAAAAGUUUAUUAGAAUUACAUUUGUUUUUAGAGUGUUAUAAGUUAUAUAAGUGUUAUAGAGGGGUAUUAUAUGAUAGUUAUAGAUGCGGAAGUGUUGUACUGAGUAACAUGAGAGGAUACAGGGUGGGGUUGUAGAUCACCGUUGCCUGAGUGGUAGGGACAGCGAUAUGUUGUAAUAGG